GACGAACGCUGGCGGCGUGCCUAAUACAUGCAAGUAGAACGCACAGUUUAUACCGUAGCUUGCUACACCAUAGACUGUGAGUUGCGAACGGGUGAGUAACGCGUAGGUAACCUGCCUGGUAGCGGGGGAUAACUAUUGGAAACGAUAGCUAAUACCGCAUAAUAUUAAUUAUUGCAUGAUAAUUAAUUGAAAGGUGCAAUUGCACCACUACCAGAUGGACCUGCGUUGUAUUAGCUAGUAGGUGAGGUAACGGCUCACCUAGGCGACGAUACAUAGCCGACCUGAGAGGGUGAACGGCCACACUGGGACUGAGACACGGCCCAGACUCCUACGGGAGGCAGCAGUAGGGAAUCUUCGGCAAUGGACGAAAGUCUGACCGAGCAACGCCGCGUGAGUGAAGAAGGUUUUCGGAUCGUAAAGCUCUGUUGUAAGAGAAGAACGGGUGUGAGAGUGGAAAGUUCACACUGUGACGGUAUCUUACCAGAAAGGGACGGCUAACUACGUG
This 505-nucleotide ribosomal RNA is filed under the name uncultured bacterium. RNAcentral's name for it is "partial 16S ribosomal RNA". It matches the Rfam family "Bacterial small subunit ribosomal RNA", at positions 28 to 507 of the family's 1533-position model. The record is from RNAcentral.